This 447-nucleotide ribosomal RNA is filed under the name uncultured bacterium. Its description in RNAcentral is "bacterial SSU rRNA". It matches the Rfam family "Bacterial small subunit ribosomal RNA", at positions 355 to 825 of the family's 1533-position model. The record is from RNAcentral.
UAGGGAAUUUUGGGCAAUGGGGGAAACCCUGACCCAGCAACGCCGCGUGAAGGAUGAAGUAUUUCGGUAUGUAAACUUCGAAAGAAUAGGAAGAAUAAAUGACGGUACUAUUUAUAAGGUCCGGCUAACUACGUGCCAGCAGCCGCGGUAAUACGUAGGGACCAAGCGUUGUUCGGAUUUACUGGGCGUAAAGGGCGCGUAGGCGGCGUGGUAAGUCACUUGUGAAAUCUCCGAGCUUAACUCGGAACGGUCAAGUGAUACUGCUGUGCUAGAGUACAGAAGGGGCAAUCGGAAUUCUUGGUGUAGCGGUGAAAUGCGUAGAUAUCAAGAGGAACACCUGAGGCGAAGGCGGGUUGCUGGGCUGAUACUGACGCUGAGGCGCGAAAGCUAGGGUAGCAAACAGGAUUAGAUACCCUCGUAGUCCCUGAGCGGGCUGGCAAGGCGCAU